CAUCUCUCUGCAGAAACUUCCAAUGCAUUCAGACGUUACGUCUCCCUAUUCUUUACCAGUAACAGAAAGUAGAGGACAGAUUAGUCUCAGCCUGUCUCCAUGGAGUAAUGGUUUUCUCAGUGUCAAGGAGAUAGAUGAGCCUUCAUCCAGUCACUGAUGGAAGCUGAUGCAGAGAUCCACAGCCAAGCAGCAGGCUGAGCUCCAGGAGUCCAGUUGAAGAGAGAGAAGAGGAUUCUAUGAGGAAAUGACAUCAACAUCAUGAUGGGAAAACCUACAGAGACAACCAAACCAAGCUAGUGAGAACUUAUGAAUUUUAGACCAACAGCUGUAGAGCUUCCAUGGGACUAGAAUGGGCCCUCUGUAUAAGCAUAGCUUGAUCUGCUUAAGGACCCCCUGGUACUAGGAUCAGGAUCCAUCCCUGGUUCAUGAGCUGGCUUUUUGGAUCCCAUUACCUAUGGUGGGACACCUUGCACAGCCUUGAUGCAGGG
Molecule: non-coding RNA, 488 nt
Organism: Peromyscus maniculatus bairdii (prairie deer mouse)
Lineage: Eukaryota; Metazoa; Chordata; Mammalia; Rodentia; Cricetidae
Source: RefSeq, a predicted model, not a curated record